RNAcentral lists this ribosomal RNA (450 nucleotides) under uncultured bacterium. Its description in RNAcentral is "partial 16S ribosomal RNA". It matches the Rfam family "Bacterial small subunit ribosomal RNA", at positions 354 to 796 of the family's 1533-position model. The record is from RNAcentral.
GUGGGGAAUUUUGGACAAUGGGCGCAAGCCUGAUCCAGCAAUGCCGCGUGCAGGAAGAAGGCCUUCGGGUUGUAAACUGCUUUUGUACGGAACGAAACGGUCCGGGUUAAUACCCUGGGCUAAUGACGGUACCGUAAGAAUAAGCACCGGCUAACUACGUGCCAGCAGCCGCGGUAAUACGUAGGGUGCAAGCGUUAAUCGGAAUUACUGGGCGUAACGCGUGCGCAGGCGGUUUUGUAAGACAGGCGUGAAAUCCCCGGGCUCAACCGGGGAAUUGCGCUUGUGACUGCAGUGCUGGAGUGCGGCAGAGGGGGAUGGAAUUCCGCGUGUAGCAGUGAAAUGCGUAGAUAUGCGGAGGAACACCGAUGGCGAAGGCAAUCCCCUGGGCCUGCACUGACGCUCAUGCACGAAAGCGUGGGGAGCAAACAGGAUUAGAUACCCGAGUAGUCC